AACGAACGCUGGCGGCAUGCCUAACACAUGCAAGUCGAACGAGACCUUCGGGUCUAGUGGCGCACGGGUGCGUAACGCGUGGGAACCUGCCCUUAGGUUCGGAAUAACUCCCCGAAAGGGGUGCUAAUACCGGUUAAUGUCUUCGGACCAAAGAUUUAUCGCCUUUGGAUGGGCCCGCGUUGGAUUAGCCAGUUGGUAGGGUAAAAGCCUACCAAGGCGACGAUCCAUAGCUGGUCUGAGAGGAUGAUCAGCCACACUGGGACUGAGACACGGCCCAGACUCCUACGGGAGGCAGCAGUGGGGAAUAUUGGGCAAUGGGCGAAAGACUAAUCAAGCAAUGCCGCGUGAGUGAUGAAGGCCUUAGGGUUGUAAAGCUCUUUUGCCCGGGAUGAUAAUGACAGUACCGGGAGAAUAAGCUCCGGCUAACUCCGUG
Molecule: ribosomal RNA, 433 nt
Filed under: uncultured bacterium
Lineage: Bacteria
Description: partial 16S ribosomal RNA
Rfam family: Bacterial small subunit ribosomal RNA
Source: RNAcentral